Non-coding RNA from Nomascus leucogenys (northern white-cheeked gibbon), 265 nucleotides. It matches the Rfam family "Metazoan signal recognition particle RNA". Rfam says of the family: The signal recognition particle (SRP) is a universally conserved ribonucleoprotein. It is involved in the co-translational targeting of proteins to membranes. Lineage: Eukaryota; Metazoa; Chordata; Mammalia; Primates; Hylobatidae. The record is from Rfam.
GCCAGGCGUGGUGGCGGGUGCCUGUAAUCCCAGCUACUCGGGAGGCUGAGGCAGGAGAAUCGCUUGAACCCGGGAGGUGGAGGUUGCAGUGAGCCGAUAUCGUGCCACUGCACUCCAGCCUGGGUUACAGAGUAAGACUCUGUUUAAAAAAAAAAAAAAAAAGUGUGGGGGGGAGGAUUGUCUGAGCCAGGCGGUUGAGGCUGCAGUGAGCUGUGAUGGUGCCACUGCACUCCAGCCUGGGUGACAGAGUGAGACUCUGUCUCAA